RNAcentral lists this ribosomal RNA (377 nucleotides) under uncultured bacterium. RNAcentral's name for it is "bacterial SSU rRNA". It matches the Rfam family "Bacterial small subunit ribosomal RNA", at positions 521 to 896 of the family's 1533-position model. The record is from RNAcentral.
UAAUACAGAGGUCCCGAGCGUUGUUCGGAUUUAUUGGGCGUAAAGGGUGCGUAGGCGGCGGAGUAAGUUGGGUGUGAAAUCCCGAGGCUCAACCUCGGAAUGGCAUUCAAUACUGCUUCGCUCGAGUACUGGAGAGGAGGCUGGAAUUUACGGUGUAGCAGUGAAAUGCGUAGAUAUCGUAAGGAAGGCCGGUGGCGAAAGCGAGCCUCUGGACAGUUACUGACGCUGAUGCACGAAGGCCAGGGGAGCAAACGGGAUUAGAUACCCCGGUAGUCCUGGCAGUAAACGGUGCGCGUUUGGUGUGGGGGGAUUCGACAAUCUCCGCGCCGGAGCUAACGCGUUAAACGCGCCGCCUGGGAAAUACGGUCGCAAGAUUA